GGGGCGUUGGCGCAGCUGGUAGCGCGUCUGGUUUGCAACCAGAAGGUCAGGGGUUCGAACCCCCUACGCUCCACAA
Molecule: transfer RNA, 76 nt
Filed under: Propionibacteriaceae bacterium ES.041
Lineage: Bacteria; Bacillati; Actinomycetota; Actinomycetes; Propionibacteriales; Propionibacteriaceae
Description: tRNA-Ala
Rfam family: tRNA
About the family: Transfer RNA (tRNA) molecules are approximately 80 nucleotides in length.
Source: RNAcentral